AGAUGGCGACCGGCGCACGGGUGAGUAACACGUAUCCGACCUGCCGAUAACUCGGGGAUAGCCUUUCGAAAGAAAGAUUAAUACCCGAUGGCAUAAUUAGACCGCAUGGUCUUAUUAUUAAAGAAUUUCGGUUAUCGAUGGGGAUGCGUUCCAUUAGGCAGUUGGUGAGGUAACGGCUCACCAAACCUUCGAUGGAUAGGGGUUCUGAGAGGAAGGUCCCCCACAUUGGAACUGAGACACGGUCCAA
Molecule: ribosomal RNA, 247 nt
Filed under: uncultured bacterium
Lineage: Bacteria
Description: partial 16S ribosomal RNA
Rfam family: Bacterial small subunit ribosomal RNA
Source: RNAcentral